GAUGAACGCUAGCGGCAGGCCUAACACAUGCAAGUCGAGGGGUAGCAGGAUUAAGCUUGCUUAAUUGCUGACGACCGGCGCACGGGUGCGUAACGCGUAUGCAACCUACCUUAUACUGGGGCAUAGCCCGGAGAAAUUCGGAUUAAUCCCCCAUAGUACUAAUGAAUCGCAUGGUUUAUUAGUUAAAGCAUUGCGGUAUAAGAUGGGCAUGCGUACUAUUGGCUAGAUGGUGAGGUAACGGCUCACCAUGGCUACGAUAGGUAGGGGGCCUGAGAGGGUGUGCCCCCACACGGGUACUGAGACACGGACCAGACUCCUGCGGGAGGCAGCAGUGAGGAUUAUUGGUCAAUGGGCGCAAGCCUGAACCAGCCAUGCCGCGUGCAGGAAGAAUGCCCUAUGGGUUGUAAACUGCUUUGAUUUGGGAAUAAACCUCUUUACGUGUAGAGAGCUGAAGGUACCAAAUGAAUAAGCACCGGCUAACUCCGUGCCAGCCGCCGCCGUAA
RNAcentral lists this ribosomal RNA (503 nucleotides) under uncultured bacterium. Its description in RNAcentral is "partial 16S ribosomal RNA". It matches the Rfam family "Bacterial small subunit ribosomal RNA", at positions 28 to 523 of the family's 1533-position model. The record is from RNAcentral.